Molecule: ribosomal RNA, 391 nt
Filed under: uncultured bacterium
Lineage: Bacteria
Description: bacterial SSU rRNA
Rfam family: Bacterial small subunit ribosomal RNA
Source: RNAcentral
GGCGAACGCUGGCGGCGUGCUUAACACAUGCAAGUCGAGCGGUAAGGCCCUUUCGGGGGUACACGAGCGGCGAACGGGUGAGUAACACGUGGGUGACCUGCCCUCAGCUCUGGGAUAAGCCCGGGAAACUGGGUCUAAUACUGGAUAUGACUCCAUGACGCAUGUUGUGGGGUGGAAAGCCUUGUGCGGCUGGGGAUGGGCCCGCGGCCUAUCAGCUUGUUGGUGGGGUGAUGGCCUACCAAGGCGACGACGGGUAGCCGGCCUGAGAGGGCGACCGGCCACACUGGGACUGAGACACGGCCCAGACUCCUACGGGAGGCAGCAGUGGGGAAUCUUGCGCAAUGGGCGAAAGCCUGACGCAGCGACGCCGCGUGAGGGAUGACGGCCUCGG